GCGCGUAAAUUGCCCGAAUCUUGACACAGGGAGGUAGUGACCAGAAAUAACAAUACAGGACCUUUUAGGUCUUGUAAUUGGAAUGAGUACAAUUUACAUCUCUUCACGAGAAUCAAUUGGAGGGCAAGUCUGGUGCCAGCAGCCGCGGUAAUUCCAGCUCCAAUAGCGUAAAUUAAAGCUGUUGCAGUUAAAACGCUCGUAGUCGGAUUUCGGUGCGGGCCGGCCGGUCUGCCGAUGGGUAUGCACUGGUUGGCGCGUCCUUCCUCCCGGAGACCGCGCCUACUCUUAACUAAGCGGGCGCGGGAGACGGGACGUUUACUUUGAAAAAAUCAGAGUGUUUCAAUCAGGCAGUCGCUCUUGCAUGGAUUAGCAUGGGAUAAUGAAAUAGGAUUCUGGUGCUAUUUUUUUGGUUUCGAACACCGGAGUAAUGAUUAACAGAGACAGUCAGGGGCACUCGUAUUCC
RNAcentral lists this ribosomal RNA (463 nucleotides) under Isochrysidales sp. Its description in RNAcentral is "SSU rRNA". It matches the Rfam family "Eukaryotic small subunit ribosomal RNA", at positions 432 to 900 of the family's 1831-position model. The record is from RNAcentral. Lineage: Eukaryota; Haptophyta; Isochrysidales.